This 32-nucleotide non-coding RNA is filed under the name Mus musculus (house mouse). Lineage: Eukaryota; Metazoa; Chordata; Mammalia; Rodentia; Muridae. The record is from RNAcentral.
UUCAACAUGCUCUUACAUGCCAACUGCCAGAA